This 527-nucleotide long non-coding RNA is filed under the name Gorilla gorilla gorilla (western lowland gorilla). RNAcentral describes it as "lncRNA (ENSGGOG00000044329.1)". The record is from RNAcentral. Lineage: Eukaryota; Metazoa; Chordata; Mammalia; Primates; Hominidae.
CCCAGAGUGAGCAAGUCCUGCCUGAUCUGCGUGAAGGACAGCUACACCGACUUCCACGUCGACUGUGGGGGCGCCUCCGCCUGGUACCACGUGCUCAAGGUUCACAAAUGCUACAACUGCAUCGUCAAGCAGGGCCAGACCCUCUUCAUCCCCUCAGGCACUGACAGAGCUCUCGUGGGCCCCGAGCCCUGCAGCUUCCCAGGGCGGUUGUCCCCUGGUCCACCUCAGCUAUGCAGGGCCCAGAGGGGAAGCCUGAGCUGGUGUGUCUGGGGCCUGGACCCACCCCCAUCGUCGCCUGCUUGAUGGUCAGUGCACUGAGAAUGGCUCUUUGGUGGCUUCCAGAGCAUAUGAAGUUGAAAAGAGGUUGAAACUAGGCAGCCUGACUCAGUUUCCCAACUUCAGAACUGCCUGCUGGUACAUGGGGAAGCACCUGCAGAGGCGUUCAAAGGUACUGGUUGCUGCAGGGUGGGUGUCCAAGCCUGGGGCUCUUGGUUAUGGGGGAGGCCAGACUUGGCUCAGGGCUGGCU